GACGAACGCUGGCGGCGUGCUUAACACAUGCAAGUCGAACGGAAAGGCCCUGCUUUUGUGGGGUGCUCGAGUGGCGAACGGGUGAGUAACACGUGAGUAACCUGCCCUUGACUUUGGGAUAACUUCAGGAAACUGGGGCUAAUACCGGAUAGGAGCCCCUGCUGCAUGGGGGGGGUUGGUAAGAUUCGGCGGUUGGGGCUGGACUCGCGGCUUAUCAGCUUGUUGGGGGGGUAGGGGCUUACCAAGGCUUUGACGGGUAGCCGGCAUGAGAGGGUGACCGGCCACAUUGGGACUGAGAUACGGACCAGACUCCUACGGGAGGCAGUAGUGGGGAAUAUUGCACAAUGGGCGGAAGCCUGAGGCAGCAACGCCGCGUGCGGGAUGACGGCCUUCGGGUUGUAAACAGCUUUCGACUGUGACGAAGCGUGAGUGACGGUAAUGGGUAAAGAAGCACCGGCUAACUACGUG
Molecule: ribosomal RNA, 468 nt
Filed under: uncultured bacterium
Lineage: Bacteria
Description: partial 16S ribosomal RNA
Rfam family: Bacterial small subunit ribosomal RNA
Source: RNAcentral